This 112-nucleotide ribosomal RNA is filed under the name Octodon degus (degu). Lineage: Eukaryota; Metazoa; Chordata; Mammalia; Rodentia; Octodontidae. The record is from RNAcentral.
UACUACAGCCAUACCACAAUGAACAUGCCCGAUCUAGUCUGAUCUCGGAAGCCAAGCAGGGUCGAGCCUAGUUAGUACUUGGAUGGCAGAACCAUGGCCAAGGCAGUGGUGC